UGUAGUGUGACAUAGUGGUUUGAGUGUUGGAUUAUUACUCUGGAGACCAGGGUUCGAUUCCCUGCUUGGCCA
This 72-nucleotide transfer RNA is filed under the name Phrynosoma platyrhinos (Desert horned lizard). Its description in RNAcentral is "tRNA-OTHER". The record is from RNAcentral. Lineage: Eukaryota; Metazoa; Chordata; Lepidosauria; Squamata; Phrynosomatidae.